GGGAUAUUGUUGUCGAUAAUUGUGCGAUCUGUAGGAAUCAUAUCAUGGAUCUCUGUAUUGAGUGUCAAGCAAACCAGGCUAGCGCAACCAGCGAGGAAUGUACUGUGGCUUGGGGGGUGUGUAAUCAUGCAUUUCAUUUCCAUUGUAUCAGUAGAUGGUUGAAGACACGUCAAGUUUGUCCAUUGGAUAAUAGCGAGUGGGAGUUUCAGAAGUACGGUCACUAGAACUUUCAUGCUGUUGAAGGAGAUGGUCCUUAAAAUUCUCAUGGGGCUGUAAUGGUUUUGACGAUUGACUCUCCCCAUUUAUGAUUUCUGAAAAUAGCAAUCUGAAGAUGCAUUUUGCUGCACAAUUAAAGUUAUCCAGAGGGUUAAUGCCGCCAAC
RNAcentral lists this unclassified non-coding RNA (381 nucleotides) under Hevea brasiliensis (rubber tree). Lineage: Eukaryota; Viridiplantae; Streptophyta; Magnoliopsida; Malpighiales; Euphorbiaceae. The record is from RNAcentral.